RNAcentral lists this unclassified non-coding RNA (539 nucleotides) under Hevea brasiliensis (rubber tree). Lineage: Eukaryota; Viridiplantae; Streptophyta; Magnoliopsida; Malpighiales; Euphorbiaceae. The record is from RNAcentral.
AAUGAUCAAGGAGUUUUCUUUCCCCAUCUUAGAUUCUCUUCCCUGUAUGAGUAGAAUCCUUGACUGAACAGGAAAUCGUUGCCUGAGUUUUUGGUUUCACAUGUUCAUUGAUGAACUCCUUAAGUUGUUGAUACAAUGAUAUUCUGCCCAUAAUCCCAUAAAUUAUUCUUCUUGUGUUGGUUGGUAUUGUGCAUUUUCCCAAGGUUAAUGUCUUAAUCAAAGAUGCACUUAAUCAAAGAUGAUUGGGAAGGGAGUAUCUAUUGUCCUUUGCUCAUGUAAUGUUUUGUGUAUUAGUCUGAGAUUCAGCUGUGUAUUAGUCCUGCAGUACCUGUUUUCAGUCAAGGAUGCAGUACAGAGCAAGUCCUAAAUACCAGGGUGGAUUUUCUUUUCACCUUUCUUUGUUUGUUCAUAAAUAUUUUAUAUGUUUGUUGGCAAAUAGAUCUGCAACUUGAGAUUUGCUGCGUGUUUGUAGGUGUUUUUGUUGCCUUAUUUUGACUACUUAGACUAAGAUGGACCAAGGGGUUUGCUCAGAUCUUAAU